Homo sapiens (human) is the source of this 1457-nucleotide long non-coding RNA. Ensembl annotates it as lung cancer associated transcript 1. Its record names the gene LUCAT1. Lineage: Eukaryota; Metazoa; Chordata; Mammalia; Primates; Hominidae. The record is from Ensembl.
GAGUAGCUGGGACUACAGGCGCCCGCCACCACACCCAGGAAUCCAACUUGCUGUUUGCUAUCACAUGUGCUAUACAUGCUGUUGAUGAAACUGCUAAAGGGGCUGAAUGUGACUGACGUCUUUGGAAGGAUGAGACUUAGCGUGCCUGUACAGUUGUGUCCAAAUGCUGUCCUCAUCUCCCAAUGAAAAGGUAUUGUAAAUAAAGAGAAAGAUCAGAGGCUUAUUUUAAACACUAAAUAUGAGCUAGGAGCUGUCCUAGACACUAUGUAAAAGUUUUAUUUAGUUCUCACUGUAAUGUUGGCCUUAUGUUAGCAUCCCAUUUUUCAGACUGAGGAAAUUAUGGCUCAGAGAGGUUAAGAGACUUAUUGAAGGUCACACAGCUCCACAAACUUUGGUGUAGAUUGAACGUGUACAUGGGUCUAUGUGACUUUGAAUCUUGCAUUCUUUACAUUAUUGGAAUAUUUCACAGAAGGAAAAUGACAUAUUAACAUGGCAAUAAGAUUUCUGGUUCCAGUCUGGUUACUGGUCUUCCAAGAGUGUUAUAGGAUGUAUAGCCUGAGCUCUGAAGCUUUGUUCUGAAGCAUGCUAUCAAUAUGAACAAAUUGGUAUGGAAGGAAGCCACAAAUUAUAUACUAAAAUCUAGUUCAUCAGAGGAAAAUAUAGUUAAAUACAUUUACAUUCCCAGAACUGUUAAUAUUGAAGAAUAAAACACACAGUGGGAAAGAGACGAAGAGAAAAUACGCCUGUUUUUAUGACUUGUUGAUAUCUACAGGGUUUUUCCUUAAGCCUCACAACAAUUUACAGCAUUGCCAGCAGCAUUCAGUACAUUCAGAACAGGAUAAUUUCACCCGCAGCUGAACUAGGGCCAUGCCUGGGACAGACAGAGAAUGGCCUUCCAGCAGACAUGCCAAGAAGCAAGCCAGGGUCAGUGAGUGAAGAGGAGGGCAGGCCCAUUUGAAGCAACACAGUUUAUCAAGGAGUCUUUAGCAACAUGAAAACGAACGUGUGUUAUUUGCAAACCAAGUAUAUCAUUACUGAACCUGAAUAUCCUUACUUUUUCAUAAGAUACAUGAAAAGAAAGAAGGAGAGAAGGAAGAAAGGAGGGCGGAAGGAAAGGAAGAAGGGAGAGAAGAAGAGAAGAAAGAAGCAGAGAAAGGAAGAGAAAAGAAAUUACGGCCAGUGCGGUGGCUCACGCCUGUAAUCCUAGCACUUUGGGAGGCCUAAGCGGGCUGAUCACCUGAGGUCAGGAGUUCGUAAGCCAGCCUGGCCAACAUGGUGAAACCCUAUCUCUACUAAAAAUACAAAAAUCAGCAGGGCAUGGUGGUGCGUGCCUGUAAUCCCAGCUACCUGGGAGGCUGAGGUAGGAGAAUCGCUGGAACCCGAGAGGCGGAGGCUGCAGUGAGUUGAGAUCAUGUCACUGCACUCCAGGCUGGGCAACAGAGUGAGACUCUGUCUCA